CCUGGGUACCAGUAAGUUUACAUCUACCAAGGCUACACGCUAAUUACAUUUUCUUUUUUAAUGUUAUCUAUUUAUCAAAUUUAGUUUCUUAAUGGAAAUUAAUAGACUAAGUCUCUGCAGUAAAAAAAAUCAGCUACAACAUAGCAGUUUGAAUAUUUUUUUUUCAGCUUUCAUCUUAUUCAGGCUUUAAGGGCUUUGAGUGUCUGGUUGGUGGUGAAGGCGUAUGAAAUGGGUGAUAUGAUUUAAGAGCAGGAGAUGGUAGGGAAGGAGUUAAUUUUCUCCCUUUUGCCAGAGGAAGGGCCACAGCUGCCUGAACUGAGCAGGGGGAUUUUCAGGGUUGCCAGCUGUGGGGAUUUAAUUGUUUCACCCGCGAGUCUAUAAAGGGGGGUACCACAGGGUAGCUCUAAAUCCUGUUGUGAUUCAGGGAGGAGGAGGUGAUUUGGAGGAUGCCUUGCUGAAGCAUGUGACAAGGAAGAAGAUGGUACUUGUUCACUUAAGAGGCAAACAGAACAUUUGGAAGUGACAUGGCAGUUGGUGGACACCUACAUUUGCUUCUUGGCCAAGGCUUCCAAAGGGAUCACUGACGGCACCUUGCUACACUGCUGUCUCUGGGUUUGGCUGUGGAAAUCUGAAGAUACCUGCAAAAUGUCACCUGCUAGAAAUGAUGGGGACUUUAGAGGGUCCAUCCAACAAGGCUAA
This 699-nucleotide long non-coding RNA is filed under the name Numida meleagris (helmeted guineafowl). RNAcentral's name for it is "lncRNA (ENSNMEG00000013033.1)". Lineage: Eukaryota; Metazoa; Chordata; Aves; Galliformes; Numididae. The record is from RNAcentral.